Molecule: non-coding RNA, 45 nt
Organism: Schistosoma curassoni
Lineage: Eukaryota; Metazoa; Platyhelminthes; Trematoda; Strigeidida; Schistosomatidae
Source: Rfam
AUUCAGUUGAUGAGUGCCAAAUAGGACGAAACACACUUACUGGAU